AUCUGGAGAGGAUGUUUCUGGCGCGGCGCCUUCCGAGUUCCCUGGAACGGGACGCCGGAGAGGGUGAGAGCCCCGUACGGUUGGACGCCUAGCCUUUGUGAAGCUCCUUCGACGAGUCGAGUAGUUUGGGAAUGCUGCUCAAAAUGGGAGGUAAAUUUCUUCUAAAGCUAAAUACCGGCCAGAGACCGAUAGCGCACAAGUAGAGUGAUCGAAAGAUGAAAAGCACUUUGAAAAGAGGGUCAAACAGUACGUGAAAUUGUUGAAAGGGAAGCGCCCGUGGCCAGACUUGUACCCCGCGGACCAUCCAGCGCCCUCAGCGCCGGUGCACUCCGUGGGGCGCAGGCCAGCAUCGGUUUUCCCAGGGGGAUAAAGGCGGCGGGAACGUGGCUCCCUCGGGAGUGUUAUAGCCCGCCGCGCCAUGCCCCUGGGGGGACCGAGGACCGCGCUUCGGCAAGGAUGCUGGCGUAAUGGCCACCGGCGACCCGUCUUGAAACACGGACCAAGGAGUCAAGCAUUGGGGCGAGUGUCUGGGUGCCAAACCCGCACGCGAAAUGAAAGUGAACGCAGGUGAGAGCUUCGGCGCAUCAUCGACCGAUCCUGAUGUUCUCGGAUGGAUUUGAGUAAGAGCCUUACCGCUUGGACCCGAAAGAUGGUGAAGUAAGCCUGUAUAGGGUGAAGCCAGAGGAAACUCUGGUGGAGG
This 700-nucleotide ribosomal RNA is filed under the name Grosmannia laricis. Its description in RNAcentral is "eukaryotic LSU rRNA". It matches the Rfam family "Eukaryotic large subunit ribosomal RNA", at positions 148 to 873 of the family's 3401-position model. The record is from RNAcentral. Lineage: Eukaryota; Fungi; Ascomycota; Sordariomycetes; Ophiostomatales; Ophiostomataceae.